This 230-nucleotide ribosomal RNA is filed under the name uncultured bacterium. Its description in RNAcentral is "partial 16S ribosomal RNA". It matches the Rfam family "Bacterial small subunit ribosomal RNA", at positions 562 to 791 of the family's 1533-position model. The record is from RNAcentral.
AAAGGGUGCGUAGGCGGUCUCGUAAGUCAGUGGUGAAAUCCGGCAGCUCAACUGUCGAUGUGCCAUUGAUACUGCGUGACUUGAGUACAGACGAGGUAGGCGGAAUUGACGGUGUAGCGGUGAAAUGCUUAGAUAUCGUCAAGAACACCGAUAGCGAAGGCAGCUUACUAGACUGUAACUGACGCUGAUGCACGAAAGUGUGGGGAUCAAACAGGAUUAGAUACCCCAGU